This 253-nucleotide ribosomal RNA is filed under the name uncultured bacterium. Its description in RNAcentral is "partial 16S ribosomal RNA". It matches the Rfam family "Bacterial small subunit ribosomal RNA", at positions 524 to 776 of the family's 1533-position model. The record is from RNAcentral.
UACGUAGGGUGCAAGCGUUGUCCGGAAUUAUUGGGCGUAAAGAGCUCGUAGGCGGUCUGUCGCGUCUGCUGUGAAAACUCAGGGCUUAACCCUGAGCUUGCAGUGGGUACGGGCAGACUAGAGUGCGGUAGGGGAGACUGGAAUUCCUGGUGUAGCGGUGAAAUGCGCAGAUAUCAGGAGGAACACCGGUGGCGAAGGCGGGUCUCUGGGCCGUAACUGACGCUGAGACGCGAAAGCGUGGGGAGCAAACAGG